This 303-nucleotide long non-coding RNA is filed under the name Ananas comosus (pineapple). Its description in RNAcentral is "long non-coding RNA (ACOM_LNC006019)". The record is from RNAcentral. Lineage: Eukaryota; Viridiplantae; Streptophyta; Magnoliopsida; Poales; Bromeliaceae.
UUUGAUUUGAUGCCUUUGAUUUGAUGCUUUGAUUGACUCGAUCUGAUUCAGUGGAGCCUCGGAUCUGUUGUUCUUUGGUUUGAGAAACGAAAAUAAAAAGGAAAUAAUAGGUAGAGAGAGAGAGAGAGAGAGAGAGAGACAGAGAGAGAAUGGAAAGAGGAGAGGAGAGGNAGAGAGAGAGAGAGAGAGAGAGAGAGAGAGAGAGAGAGAGAGAAUGGAAAGAGGAGAGGAGAGGAGAGAGAGGGAGAAAGGAAAGGGGGGAAAGAGAGAAGAGCAAAUUAAGAGAAGAUACCUGCUGAGAAA